GAUGAACGCUAGCUACAGGCUUAACACAUGCAAGUCGGGGGGAAACGGCAUUAAGUGCUUGCACUUUUUGGACGUCGACCGGCGCACGGGUGAGUAACGCGUAUCCAACCUUCCCAUGACUAAGGGAUAACCUGCCGAAAGGCAGACUAAUACCUUAUGGUCUUCACUGACGGCAUCAGAUGUGAAGUAAAGAUUUAUCGGUUAUGGAUGGGGAUGCGUCUGAUUAGCUUGUUGGCGGGGUAACGGCCCACCAAGGCAACGAUCAGUAGGGGUUCUGAGAGGAAGGUCCCCCACAUUGGAACUGAGACACGGUCCAAACUCCUACGGGAGGCAGCAGUGAGGAAUAUUGGUCAAUGGGCGAGAGCCUGAACCAGCCAAGUAGCGUGCAGGAUGACGGCCCUAUGGGUUGUAAACUGCUUUUGUAUGGGGAUAAAGUCAAUCACGUGUGAUUGUUUGCAGGUACCAUACGAAUAAGGACCGGCUAAUUCCGUGCCAGCAGCCGCGGUAAUACGGAAGGUCCGGGCGUUAUCCGGAUUUAUUGGGUUUAAAGGGAGCGUAGGCUGGAGAUUAAGUGUGUUGUGAAAUGUAGACGCUCAACGUCUGACUUGCAGCGCACACUGGUUUCCUUGAGUACGCACAACGUUGGCGGAAUUCGUCGUGUAGCGGUGAAAUGCUUAGAUAUGACGAAGAACUCCGAUUGCGAAGGCAGCUGACGGGAGCGCAACUGACGCUGAAGCUCGAAGGUGCGGGUAUCGAACAGG
Molecule: ribosomal RNA, 761 nt
Filed under: Prevotella melaninogenica
Lineage: Bacteria; Pseudomonadati; Bacteroidota; Bacteroidia; Bacteroidales; Prevotellaceae
Description: bacterial SSU rRNA
Rfam family: Bacterial small subunit ribosomal RNA
Source: RNAcentral